GUGCCUACAACAAGUUCGAGCCCGUUAAUGGGUGAGAGCGUGCCUUUUGUAGAAUGAACCGGCGAGUUACGAUAUGAUGCGAGGUUAAGUUGAAGAGACGGAGCCGUAGGGAAACCGAGUCUUAAUAGGGCGCAUUAGUAUCAUGUCGUAGACCCGAAACCAUGUGACCUACCCAUGAGCAGGUUGAAGGUGAGGUAAAACUCACUGGAGGACCGAACCAGGGCACGUUGAAAAGUGCUUGGAUGACUUGUGGGUAGCGGAGAAAUUCCAAACGAACUUGGAG
This 283-nucleotide ribosomal RNA is filed under the name Streptococcus thermophilus. RNAcentral's name for it is "partial 23S ribosomal RNA". It matches the Rfam family "Bacterial large subunit ribosomal RNA", at positions 560 to 844 of the family's 2925-position model. The record is from RNAcentral. Lineage: Bacteria; Bacillati; Bacillota; Bacilli; Lactobacillales; Streptococcaceae.